GACGAACGCUGGCGGCGUGCUUAACACAUGCAAGUCGAACGGUGAAGCUCCAGCUUGCUGGAGUGGAUCAGUGGCGAACGGGUGAGUAACACGUGAGCAACCUGCCCCUGACUCUGGAAUAAGCGCUGGAAACGGCGUCUAAUACUGGAUACGAGAAGGGUCCGCAUGGGCACUUUCUGGAAAGUUUUUCGGUUGGGGAUGGGCUCGCGGCCUAUCAGCUUGUUGGUGAGGUAAUGGCUCACCAAGGCGACGACGGGUAGCCGGCCUGAGAGGGCGACCGGCCACACUGGGACUGAGACACGGCCCAGACUCCUACGGGAGGCAGCAGUGGGGAAUAUUGCACAAUGGGCGAAAGCCUGAUGCAGCGACGCCGCGUGAGGGAUGACGGCCUUCGGGUUGUAAACCUCUUUCAGCAGGGAAGAAGCGAAAGUGACAGUACCUGCAGAAAAAGCACCGGCUAACUACGUG
RNAcentral lists this ribosomal RNA (468 nucleotides) under uncultured bacterium. RNAcentral's name for it is "partial 16S ribosomal RNA". It matches the Rfam family "Bacterial small subunit ribosomal RNA", at positions 28 to 507 of the family's 1533-position model. The record is from RNAcentral.